CAGUCGCCGCGGGAAUACGUAGGUCCCGAGCGUUGUCCGGAUUUAUUGGGCGUAAAGCGAGCGCAGGCGGUUAGAUAAGUCUGAAGUUAAAGGCUGUGGCUUAACCAUAGUACGCUUUGGAAACUGUUUAACUUGAGUGCAAGAGGGGAGAGUGGAGUUCCAUGUGUAGCGGUGAAAUGCGUAGAUAUAUGGAGGAACACCGGUGGCGAAAGCGGCCCUCUGGCUUGUAACUGACGCUGAGGCUCGAAAGCGUGGGGAGCAAACAGGAUUAGAUACCCCCGUAGUCCCUGUCUCUUAUACA
Molecule: ribosomal RNA, 301 nt
Filed under: uncultured bacterium
Lineage: Bacteria
Description: partial 16S ribosomal RNA
Rfam family: Bacterial small subunit ribosomal RNA
Source: RNAcentral